GCCUGGGUGGCUCAGUCGGUUGAGCAUCCGACUUCAGCUCAGGUCACGAUCUCGCGGUCCGUGAGUUCGAGCCCCGCGUCAGGCU
Molecule: non-coding RNA, 85 nt
Organism: Felis catus (domestic cat)
Lineage: Eukaryota; Metazoa; Chordata; Mammalia; Carnivora; Felidae
Source: Rfam